RNAcentral lists this microRNA precursor (125 nucleotides) under Brassica oleracea var. oleracea. RNAcentral's name for it is "MIR9563 microRNA precursor family". It matches the Rfam family "MIR9563 microRNA precursor family". The record is from Rfam by way of RNAcentral. Lineage: Eukaryota; Viridiplantae; Streptophyta; Magnoliopsida; Brassicales; Brassicaceae.
AAAAGUUAAAAAACUGUUUUUUAAUUUUUAACUAAAAAAGCUAAGAACCGGUUUUUAAAUAAAGACUUUAAAAACCGGUUCUUAGUUUUUUUAGUUAAAAAUUAAAAAACAGUUUCUUAACUUCC